This 712-nucleotide ribosomal RNA is filed under the name fungal endophyte. RNAcentral's name for it is "eukaryotic LSU rRNA". The stretch from base 180 to 333 matches the Rfam family "5.8S ribosomal RNA". Lineage: Eukaryota; Fungi. The record is from RNAcentral.
GGAUCAUUACAAGACGAGUCCUCGCGGCUCCCACACCACUGUGAACGCACCUCCGUGUUGCUUCGGCGGCCGGCCCCCUCCCCGGGGGUCGCCGUGGCCCGCCCGCUGGGCGGCCGCCGGGCGGCCAGCACAAAACUUAUUCUGUACACUACCAUCUGAGUAAUCACUAAAUGAAUCAAAACUUUCAACAACGGAUCUCUUGGUUCUGGCAUCGAUGAAGAACGCAGCGAAAUGCGAUAAGUAAUGUGAAUUGCAGAAUUCAGUGAAUCAUCGAAUCUUUGAACGCACAUUGCGCCCGCCAGCAUUCUGGCGGGCAUGCCUGUCCGAGCGUCAUUUCAACCCUCAGCCCCCCGGGGCUGGUGUUGGGGCGCUGCCCCCCCCGCGGGCGCAGCCUCCUAAAGUCAUCGGCGGACCCCCCGAGGCCCCGAGCGCAGUAGCACUACUCUCGCUCCGGGCGCCGCGGUGGCUCCUGCCGCCAAGCCGUCCCCCGGGACACAACCGAAAAUUUGACCUCGGAUCAGGUAGGAAUACCCGCUGAACUUAAGCAUAUCAAUAAGCGGAGGAAAAGAAACCAACAGGGAUUGCCCCAGUAACGGCGAGUGAAGCGGCAACAGCUCAGAUUUGAAAUCCGGCAGCGAUGCCCGAGUUGUAAUCUGCAGAGGAUGCUUUCGGCGAGGCGCCUUCCGAGUUCCCUGGAACGGGACGCCACAGA